Molecule: long non-coding RNA, 1955 nt
Filed under: Trifolium pratense (red clover)
Lineage: Eukaryota; Viridiplantae; Streptophyta; Magnoliopsida; Fabales; Fabaceae
Description: long non-coding RNA (TPRA_LNC004420)
Source: RNAcentral
AGGAAACAUAAAUUCUCCCUUCCUCUCUCUCACGCCACCACCCCCUUCAUUUCCCUAGCUACCAUCAUCAAAUCAACUCUAAAUUAACAUGCAAUUUCAGAAAUGGAAUCUCCAUGAGAAACCAAAGCAAGAAAGCUACACUUCUUUCUUCUCUUCCCUCUUGGCCGAAAAUGUAUCUUCCAUGGUCAAGUCUUGUUUUUUCUCAAAUUGAAGCUUGGGAGUUGGGAGUACGAAUUGAACGAGAAAUUGGGAAGGAUUAAGCCUUUGGGUGCAUAGAAAAUAAGGUAUGGUUAGUGAUUCAUACUUCUCUUUCCAAUUUGAGAUUAAACCCUAACACCCAAUCCUCAUCUAUUCCUUAUUUGAUGUUGCAUGUGUGUUUAUACUCGUGUGGAGAACGUGAAACAUUGUAAGAAACAUGGAUUUCAAUAGUCAUGAGACCAUGGGUUUGAUUAUUCCAUGUUUUGGAGGAGAUUAAGUGAUCUUCGUAUUCAAGGACAGACCUACACUAAAAAGGUGGUUGUUCCCUCUCUUUAAAUCUGUUUCGUAUGGGGUUUGUUUCUACUGUUAGCUAACGAACCUACGGUCGUUUCGACACCAAUUUCAUGAAUUUUGCAGCAGUAUUGAGUUCAGGAGAAGCAUCUGAAGUUCAGGGUCUGAUGCAGAAUUUUGGGCUACGGGUUUGAAGUGUUGUGGCUGCAAUUUCUGUUUUUCAGCAAACUCCGGAUGUGUCAAUGGUACUGUUAAAGCGUCAAAUUCAGGUGGGUUCCUUUAAGUAAACUCUCACAUUAAUAGAGUAGUUCCUUAGUUUUUCCCAAAUUUAACUAUGCAUGUUAACAUUAGGAAAGUUACGUUACUUUAGGAAUAAUUCAUGAAAUCAUCUUAAUAAUUAAAUGGACAAACCCUUUACAUGUUUGAUUGGACUGGAAUCUAUGGAAUUUGGAACGAACAAUGAAAUUACAUAAGUUGAAAUUGUACUGAUAAUGUUAUAAAAUUAUGCAGGUCUACUGAUUUGAACUAGUUCAUGCACUACUUGAAUCGAUGCAUACUUCCCUUGAUCUGAAAAUACGCAUUUAUGGGUUUAUGAACCGGUGUGUGCUAAUUAGCAUGAAUCAGUGCAUAGACUCCAAGGAUGUUCUUAAAAACCUGGGAAAAAUGUGUCGAUACAACACAUGAAUAUACUGGUUCAAACUGCGAUCUGUGAGGAUUUUGCAUCGGUGCAAUCACUAUUGAACCGAUGCAUGGAACCAGAACUUGUAUUUUGAAAACAUGGGCUUGAUGCAUCGGUGCAAGGGUUAUUGAAUCGGUGUAAACUUGUAUUUUCAUGAAACUUAAGACUGGAAUGUAUCGGGCAAAGCUAUUUGAAUCGGUACAUCUUAGUACUUCUUUGAAAGACCUUUUGUCUUAUGUAUGAGAGGUUAUAACGACUAUUUAUUUCAACUAAAAGUCCUCCGUUAUGGAAAUUAUUUUAUAAACACAAUAAGUGACUAAAUUCCACGAUUACGGACUUUCAUACAGGUAUUAAAAUUAGUAGACAUAGGAAUUGAAUCAGGAUAUUCAGGAUAGUUAGAAUGGCCCCGGGAAGGUUUUCUUUUCUUUGGGUAGGAAAACAAUCAGGUUCAUGAUUAGAUAUUAGGAUUAUGAAUUACUAUUUGUCAAGUUGCUUGGUCAUUAACACCAUGUUAGGGGAUUCAAUCAGAAUCCAAAAUCUUGUAAUAAGAACUGUAAGCUCAUGUUGUAUUCCGACGUAUAUUAUUAUCGGUAAUGUUGGAUAUUUGUGUGUUGGCCUCAUUUUGCUAAAACAAAUAUACAAGCAAGAUGUUGGACCAAAUGUUUCAACAUGUUAGGUACAAAAGAUGUUGGACUAAAUGUUGUAACAUGUUUGGGUACGACAGUCAGAUUGCCCAAAUCUCGCGCAUUUAUUACACGUAUCUGCUAUAUAUGGAAAUCCACUCUAC